RNAcentral lists this ribosomal RNA (606 nucleotides) under uncultured cyanobacterium. RNAcentral's name for it is "bacterial SSU rRNA". It matches the Rfam family "Bacterial small subunit ribosomal RNA", at positions 131 to 770 of the family's 1533-position model. Lineage: Bacteria; Bacillati; Cyanobacteriota. The record is from RNAcentral.
UUCAGGUUUGGGACACCAUUGGAAACGGUGGCUAAUACCGAAUGUGCCGAGAGGUGAAAGGCUUGCUGCCUGAAGAAGAGCUUGCGUCUGAUUAGCUAGUUGGUGGGGUAAGAGCCUACCAAGGCGACGAUCAGUAGCUGGUCUGAGAGGAUGAUCAGCCACACUGGGACUGAGACACGGCCCAGACUCCUACGGGAGGCAGCAGUGGGGAAUUUUCCGCAAUGGGCGAAAGCCUGACGGAGCAAUACCGCGUGAGGGAGGAAGGCUCUUGGGUUGUAAACCUCUUUUCUCAGGGAAGAAAAAAAUGACGGUACCUGAGGAAUAAGCAUCGGCUAACUCCGUGCCAGCAGCCGCGGUAAUACGGAGGAUGCAAGCGUUAUCCGGAAUGAUUGGGCGUAAAGGGUCCGCAGGUGGUAGUGUAAGUCUGCUGUUAAAGAGUCACGCUCAACGUGAUCAAAGCAGUGGAAACUACACAACUAGAGUACGGUAGGGGCAGAAGGAAUUCCUGGUGUAGCGGUGAAAUGCGUAGAUAUCAGGAAGAACACCGGUGGCGAAAGCGUUCUGCUAGACCUGUACUGACACUGAGGGACGAAAGCUAGGGGAGCG